This 465-nucleotide ribosomal RNA is filed under the name uncultured Klebsiella sp. RNAcentral's name for it is "bacterial SSU rRNA". It matches the Rfam family "Bacterial small subunit ribosomal RNA", at positions 338 to 795 of the family's 1533-position model. Lineage: Bacteria; Pseudomonadati; Pseudomonadota; Gammaproteobacteria; Enterobacterales; Enterobacteriaceae. The record is from RNAcentral.
CCUACGGGGGGCAGCAGUGGGGAAUAUUGCACAAUGGGCGCAAGCCUGAUGCAGCCAUGCCGCGUGUGUGAAGAAGGCCUUCGGGUUGUAAAGCACUUUCAGCGGGGAGGAAGGCGGUGAGGUUAAUAACCUCAUCGAUUGACGUUACCCGCAGAAGAAGCACCGGCUAACUCCGUGCCAGCAGCCGCGGUGAUACGGAGGGUGCAAGCGUUAAUCGGAAUUACUGGGCGUAAAGCGCACGCAGGCGGUCUGUCAAGUCGGAUGUGAAAUCCCCGGGCUCAACCUGGGAACUGCAUUCGAAACUGGCAGGCUAGAGUCUUGUAGAGGGGGGUAGAAUUCCAGGUGUAGCGGUGAGAUGCGUAGAGAUCUGGAGGAAUACCGGUGGCGAAGGCGGCCCCCUGGACAAAGACUGACGCUCAGGUGCGAAAGCGUGGGGAGCAAACAGGAUUAGAUACCCGGGUAGUC